This is a long non-coding RNA of Dendroctonus ponderosae (mountain pine beetle), 922 nucleotides long. RefSeq lists it as uncharacterized. The transcript is spliced from 4 exons. The record is from RefSeq and is a predicted model, not a curated record. NCBI's taxonomy places the organism in Eukaryota, Metazoa, Arthropoda, Insecta, Coleoptera, Curculionidae.
UAUUUAUUUUAAGUUAUCUCUUACAGACGCCCGCUACUGCUGAGCAUUGGUUAGAAAUUUUGAAUGAAUUUGACCAGCAGUGGAAUUUUCCUCAUUGCCUAGGUGCAAUCGAUGGUAAACAUGUGGUUCUACAGGCUCCAGUAGGCAGCGGUAGUGAAUACUUCAAUUACAAAUCAGUUUUUAGUAUCGUACUAUUCGCAUUAGUAGAUGCUAAUUCUAAUUUUGUAUUUGCGGAUGUAGACUGAGAUCAGGGCCGCAUUUCAGAUGGAGAGCCAGCAGUUCUUCCGGGACAACAGAAAAUUGUACCAUACGUUAUUCUGCGUGAUGAUGCAUUUGCGCUGCAUGAAUACGUCAUGAAACUCUAUGCAGCUUUACAUAAAAAAAGUUCUUUGGAAAUAAUUUUUAGUUAUAGGUUGUCGAGAGCACGAAAAGUAGUAGAAAAUGCUUUCGGAAUUGUCUGUGUGUUGUUUCACAAAACAUAUACACACCUAGAGGAACACUGGACUAUGCGGAAAAUGGACGAAUAAUAGAAGGAAAUUGGCGAAAAGAACAACCUGUAAAAUCAUUCCUUCCACUGAAAAAAGUUCCAAGGAAGCCAGCAAUGGGUGUUCAAGAAAUUAGGACCGAAAUAGCAGAAUACUUUAUAAAUAGUGGAAGUGUAGCUUGGCAAAACGAUUAUGCUUAAAAAAAUCUACUUUUAUUUUCAUUCAUUAGCGAUUUUUAGACUAUAUUAAACUAAUUUAAAAAUAUACUUACAGUUUCAGUGUUGAUGGUUUCUGCUUCUUCAUUUUUAUUCAUAAGAAAGGCAAAGCUAGUAAAUGCAAACCAUUUGCUGGAAUAAACGUUCUUCUGUCCUAAAAUGUAUCAAGUUUUUUAAUUUAAGUUUAUGUGAAUGUAAUAUUUAAAAAUACCUUGUCCAGUU